CUUUUUUUUAUGCGGACAAUCGCACCAAAAAGAAGUAAAAAAAGUCACUCCUUGGUCGCUCUCCGCACAAGUUAUUCGCCAUUCUUUUCCUCGUCGAUCUCACGAAAACCCCUCUUUAAACCUUCUGCUCUUUGGCUCUCCAAUGGCGAAACCAUAUUUUCUUCGAAUCCUUUUAGGGUUUGUCCUCUUUUUCUCCGUCCCCGCAGCAGAUGGAGGAUCGAUCCACGAUCUCCUUCGCGACCAUGGCCUGCCGGCUGGUCUACUCCCCACUGCGGUGUCAUCUUACAAUCUGGAUCAGGACACUGGUGUGUUGGAAGCUCAUCUCGACCGUCCGUGCUACGCCAAAUACGACGGAUUGGUAUUCUUCAACGAGACGGUUAGGGGUAAUUUGAGCUUCGGUGGGUUGAGGGGUUUAGUGGGUCUUUCGCAGGAGGAGCUUUUUCUAUGGCUGCCGGUUAAGGAGAUAUUGGUUGAUGAUCCUUCGUCGGGAGUUAUUCUGUUUGAUAUGGGCGUUGCUCAUAAGCAAUUGUCGCUUUCGCUGUUUGAGAAUCCGCAGGAUUGUAGUGUGGGUGCAGGGAUUAAUGGGAAAGGAUUUAUCCGGAUGAUUAGAGAAGGUCUCCUUACUGAUAAUCUAAGAUUCUAGGGGCUGUCUGGCAAUGGAGUUAGCUCGAGAUUUAAGCGGGGUGUAGGCUAAAUCUUGCCAGAAGGUCAUUUUGGACAAAAUAAAGCUGCAAAUUUGAUAAAUCUAGAUUUCACGGAUUUUGGCCGUAAAUCCUGAAUUUAUUAAAUCCCGUGAAUUAGAGGAUUUACGGGAUUUACGGCGCACGAGAAGGUAAGAAUGCAGGAUUUGGAAGGAAGGCAAUAGGAUUCCUGGGGGGAUGACAAGGACUUAAAAAAUGCUUUAGAUUUGUACUUC
RNA transcript from Phalaenopsis equestris, 916 nucleotides. RefSeq lists it as uncharacterized. NCBI's taxonomy places the organism in Eukaryota, Viridiplantae, Streptophyta, Magnoliopsida, Asparagales, Orchidaceae. The record is from RefSeq and is a predicted model, not a curated record. The transcript is spliced from 3 exons.